RNAcentral lists this ribosomal RNA (416 nucleotides) under uncultured Gemmiger sp. RNAcentral describes it as "bacterial SSU rRNA". It matches the Rfam family "Bacterial small subunit ribosomal RNA", at positions 349 to 782 of the family's 1533-position model. Lineage: Bacteria; Bacillati; Bacillota; Clostridia; Eubacteriales; Oscillospiraceae. The record is from RNAcentral.
CAGCAGUGGGGGAUAUUGCACAAUGGGGGAAACCCUGAUGCAGCGACGCCGCGUGGAGGAAGAAGGUUUUCGGAUUGUAAACUCCUGUCGUUAGGGACGAUAAUGACGGUACCUAACAAGAAAGCACCGGCUAACUACGUGCCAGCAGCCGCGGUAAAACGUAGGGUGCAAGCGUUGUCCGGAAUUACUGGGUGUAAAGGGAGCGCAGGCGGGAAGACAAGUUGGAAGUGAAAACCAUGGGCUCAACCCAUGAAUUGCUUUCAAAACUGUUUUUCUUGAGUAGUGCAGAGGUAGAUGGAAUUCCCGGUGUAGCGGUGGAAUGCGUAGAUAUCGGGAGGAACACCAGUGGCGAAGGCGGUCUACUGGGCACCAACUGACGCUGAGGCUCGAAAGCAUGGGUAGCAAACAGGAUUAGA